RNAcentral lists this non-coding RNA (88 nucleotides) under Methylobacterium sp. RAS18. The record is from RNAcentral. Lineage: Bacteria; Pseudomonadati; Pseudomonadota; Alphaproteobacteria; Hyphomicrobiales; Methylobacteriaceae.
UUCUAUGGCCGGAUGCGGCUGGGGCACCUUCGGGUGCGCCGCAAGCCUUGUGCGUGGUCUACCAACCCCGUCGUAUCCGGCCACCACA